GCCCUUGACGCAGCGACGCGCGUGGAGGAUGAAGGCUUUCGGGUCGUAAACUCCUGUCAAGAGGAAGAAACCUGCAAAGAGUAAUAUGCUUUGCAAUUGACGGUACCUCUAGAGGAAGCACCGGCUAAUUCCGUGCCAGCAGCCGCGGUAAUACGGAAGGUGCAAGCGUUAAUCGGAAUCACUGGGCGUAAAGCGCUCGUAGGUGGCUUUGUAAGUCAGGUGUGAUUAAUUCGGAAUCACUGGCGUAAAGCGUCUCGUAGGUGGCUUUGUAAGUCGAGGUGUGUAAGCCCACGGCUCAACCGUGGAAUUGCACUUGAUUACUGCAUCGCUAGAGUUCGGGAGAGGGUAGUGGAAUUCCAGGUGUAGGAGUGAAAUCCGUAGAGAUCUGGAGGAACACCGGUGGCGAAGGCGACUACCUGGACCCAUACUUACACUUAGGAGCGAAAGCGUGGGGAGCAAACAGGAUUAGAUACCCUUGUAGUCCACGCC
This 489-nucleotide ribosomal RNA is filed under the name delta proteobacterium RS15. RNAcentral describes it as "bacterial SSU rRNA". It matches the Rfam family "Bacterial small subunit ribosomal RNA", at positions 379 to 801 of the family's 1533-position model. The record is from RNAcentral. Lineage: Bacteria; Deltaproteobacteria.